GAUGAACGCUGGCGGCGUGCCUAAUACAUGCAAGUCGAGCGAACGGACGAGAAGCUUGCUUUUCUGAUGUUAGCGGCGGACGGGUGAGUAACACGUGGAUAACCUACCUAUAAGACUGGGAUAACUUCGGGAAACCGGAGCUAAUACCGGAUAAUAUUUUGAACCGCAUGGUUCAAAAGUGAAAGACGGUCUUGCUGUCACUUAUAGAUGGAUCCGCGCUGCAUUAGCUAGUUGGUAAGGUAACGGCUUACUAAGGCAACGAUGCAUACCCGACCUGAGAGGGUGAUCGGCCACACUGGAACUGAGACACGGUCCAAACUCCUACGGGAGGCAGCAGUAGGGAAUCUUCCGCAAUGGGCGAAAGCCUGACGGGGCAACGCCGCGUGAGUGAUGAAGGUCUUCGGAUCGUAAAACUCUGUUAUUAGGGAAGAACAUAUGUGUAAGUAACUGUGCACAUCGUGACGGUACCUAAUCAGAAAGCCACGGCUAACUACGUG
This 497-nucleotide ribosomal RNA is filed under the name uncultured bacterium. Its description in RNAcentral is "partial 16S ribosomal RNA". It matches the Rfam family "Bacterial small subunit ribosomal RNA", at positions 28 to 507 of the family's 1533-position model. The record is from RNAcentral.